AUGGCCAAAGACUUCUUAGCACUUUUGUCCUUUCAUGUUCCUCAACAUACCAUGCAGCUCAUCUCUGGUGGUCAGGUUGUUGACUCUGGUUGUCAGGUAAUUUUUGACUUUGACGCAUCCUUUGUUUUGGACCGUCACACUGGUGCUGUCCUUGGUGCUGGUCCCCGAUGUCAUAACUCCCAAGGCCUGUGGGAGCUUGACUGGCUUCACUUCCCCUCUGUUGCCACCACUGCCAGUCUCUCCACCUCUAUUGCCUCCAGUCUCUGCCUCUGUUGCCUUGUCUACCAGAUAUUUUCAAGAGUGGCAACAUCGCCUUGGGUCACUUGUGAUAUCUCAUCCUUAGUUCGACGUGAUCUUCUUGGAUCCGUCUCCGAUGAUGUCUCAAAUGCGUGGCCCAGUUUCCUUGUACUCAUGGCGAGACAUUGUCUCAGCAUCCUUUAG
RNAcentral lists this ribosomal RNA (441 nucleotides) under Triticum aestivum (bread wheat). Its description in RNAcentral is "partial small subunit ribosomal RNA". The record is from RNAcentral. Lineage: Eukaryota; Viridiplantae; Streptophyta; Magnoliopsida; Poales; Poaceae.